This is a small nuclear RNA of Spermophilus dauricus (Daurian ground squirrel), 110 nucleotides long. The record is from Ensembl. Lineage: Eukaryota; Metazoa; Chordata; Mammalia; Rodentia; Sciuridae.
AGAAUACAAGCAACAGCACUCACUUUGGAAGCACUGGAAUAAUACAGAGAAGAUUAGCAUGGCCCCUGUGCAAGGAUGACAUGCAAAUUUGUGAAGCAUUCCAUAUUUUU